ACUUUAACCCCCAAAAAAAAUCCUCCUCUAUUACGUCCUAUUAACUAUUGACUUUUCAAAACUCACCGAGUAUGAGAGAAGAGAAGAGAAUGGCGAUCAACAAAACCCUAGGUUCUCUACCGUCGGUGUAGCUGUCGUUUCAGUCGCCCGUCUGCCGCCGUUGCAGUCGCCGGUUCCGCCGCAGUUGCCGCCACAGUUGUCACAGGAAGCUCAUAAAUCGAGCCACCUCCUCUAUCAACAUUAUGGUUUCAGAUCUGGUUGCUCUGUUGGUACGAUUGCCAUUGCAGUUUUUGCCAUUGUUGUCACUGUAGUUUCUGCGGUCAAAAGCUUCUGAAUCGAGUGAUGUUGAUCUGCAUUUGACCUUACUUGAAGCCCUCCAAUUUCAUCUUGGUAUAAGAUUGUGAUGCAUCUCAUGUCUGUGUGCAUUCCAAGUCCUUCAACUUCUUCUUCUUCUGGAGCUGAAUAGUUGUUUAUUCUUAAGUAUCCAAGGCUGGUUGGUGGUUGGUGGCAGCAAUGCUAUACUAUGCGCUGGUUUGUAUCCCAAUGUGACAGCUAGUGAACACGGUAUUGUUGGAGCAAUUCUUAGCACCUUCAACCAGUCUUCUAAUACUGUGAAUAGUGGUCGUACAGUCUGGUUUGAUGGAAGAAGAGAAGGAAACUGGGAUCCAAGUAAAAGCAACUGUGGCACCCUUGAGUUAAAGGCAGCAAGGCAGUUCUCUUUUAAAGAACUUAAGAAAUGCACAGACAACUUUUCACUAGCUAAUGAUGUUGGAUCUGGGGGUUAUGGAAAGGUUUAUAAGGGAACUCUUCCCUCUAGACAACUGAUAGCCAUAAAACGAGCUCAAAAGGAAUCGAAGCAGGGCGGGUAGAAUUCAAAGCUGAGAUUGAACUCCUUUCAAGGGUUCACCACAAGAAUGUGGUAAGCCUAGUUGGAUUCUGCUUUGAAGAACAUUUUGCUGAUAGAGAAGCUUGAUGCAAAAGUUGCUGAUUUUGGCCUAUCCUAUCCAAACCAAUAUUAGAUUAUGGCAAAGAUCAUGUCACCACUCAAUUUAAAGAUCAUAGCACAAGAAUCAGGAGCUAACAGGCCUCCAAUGAGUGAUGUAGUGAAAGAGAUUGAAAUCAUAUUGCACUCAAUUGGUUUGGACCCUGCUGCUGAAUCUGGACCAUCAACUUCUUCAAGUUUUCAACAUAAUGAGAAAUUUCAGGUUCAUUAGGCAAUUAUCGGAUGGAAGAAAUGAGGAGAAAAGCAUGCAAAGAGGAGAAUGCAUGAAGAAACAAAGAUUUGGAAGGAACCAAUGGACGCGCACGCGUACAAGGCGCGCACGCGCAAAGUGGUCUCUCACAAGGACGCGCACGCGUACAUGCCGCUUCCGCGCGGAUGGGGAUUUGCCAAUCAACGCGCACGCGCACAUGGCGCGCACGCGCCAACACUCGUACUUGGCCCACUUAAUGGCAAAACGCUGGAGGCGAUUUCUGAGCUACCCAAGCCCAAAUCCAACUUGUUUCUGAGU
Molecule: non-coding RNA, 1511 nt
Organism: Arachis ipaensis
Lineage: Eukaryota; Viridiplantae; Streptophyta; Magnoliopsida; Fabales; Fabaceae
Source: RefSeq, a predicted model, not a curated record